GGAAGUAAAAGUCGUAACAAGGUCUCCGUUGGUGAACCAGCGGAGGGAUCAUUACCGAGUUUACAACUCCCAAACCCAAUGUGAACGUUACCAAACUGUUGCCUCGGCGGGAUCUCUGCCCCGGGUGCGUCGCAGCCCCGGACCAAGGCGCCCGCCGGAGGACCAACCAAAACUCUUUUGUAUACCCCCUCGCGGGUUUUUUUAUAUCUGAGCCAUCUCGGCGCCUCUCGUAGGCGUUUCGAAAAUGAAUCAAAACUUUCAACAACGGAUCUCUUGGUUCUGGCAUCGAUGAAGAACGCAGCGAAAUGCGAUAAGUAAUGUGAAUUGCAGAAUUCAGUGAAUCAUCGAAUCUUUGAACGCACAUUGCGCCCGCCAGUAUUCUGGCGGGCAUGCCUGUCCGAGCGUCAUUUCAACCCUCGAACCCCUCCGGGGGGUCGGCGUUGGGGAUCGGCCCUUUACGGGGCCGGCCCCGAAAUACAGUGGCGGUCUCGCCGCAGCCUCUCCUGCGCAGUAGUUUGCACACUCGCAUCGGGAGCGCGGCGCGUCCAUUGCCGUAAAACACCCAACUUUCUGAAAUGUUGACCUCGGAUCAGGUAGGAAUACCCGCUGAACUUAAGCAUAUCAAUAAGCGGAGGA
This 636-nucleotide ribosomal RNA is filed under the name Trichoderma spirale. Its description in RNAcentral is "eukaryotic LSU rRNA". The stretch from base 254 to 407 matches the Rfam family "5.8S ribosomal RNA". The record is from RNAcentral. Lineage: Eukaryota; Fungi; Ascomycota; Sordariomycetes; Hypocreales; Hypocreaceae.